This 305-nucleotide ribosomal RNA is filed under the name uncultured bacterium. Its description in RNAcentral is "bacterial SSU rRNA". It matches the Rfam family "Bacterial small subunit ribosomal RNA", at positions 338 to 633 of the family's 1533-position model. The record is from RNAcentral.
CCUACGGGGGGCGGCAGUUAGGAAUAUUCGGCAAUGGGGGAAACCCUGACCGAGCAAUGCCGCGUGUGAGAUGACGGCCCUAUGGGUUGUAAAUCACUUUUAUUUGGGAAGAAUUGUAAGCAUAGGAAAUGAUGUUUACUUGACGGUACCUUUUGAAUAAGCCCCGGCUAACUACGUGCCAGCAGCCGCGGUAAAACGUAGGGGGCGAGCGUUGUCCGGAAUGACUGGGCGUAAAGGGUGCGUAGGCGGCAUAAUAAGUUAGAAGUGAAAUACCCAGAGCUUAACUCGGGUGCUGCUUCUAAGAC